UACAAUGGAGAGUUUGAUCCUGGCUCAGGAUGAACGCUAGCGGGAGGCCUAACACAUGCAAGCCGAGCGGUAUUUGUUCUUCGGAACAGAGAGAGCGGCGUACGGGUGCGGAACACGUGUGCAACCUGCCUUUAUCAGGGGGAUAGCCUUUCGAAAGGAAGAUUAAUACCCCAUAAUAUAAGAAACGGCAUCGUUUUUUAUUGAAAACUCCGGUGGAUAGAGAUGGGCACGCGCAAGAUUAGAUAGUUGGUGAGGUAACGGCUCACCAAGUCUGCGAUCUUUAGGGGGCCUGAGAGGGUGAUCCCCCACACUGGUACUGAGACACGGACCAGACUCCUACGGGAGGCAGCAGUGAGGAAUAUUGGACAAUGGGUUAGCGCCUGAUCCAGCCAUCCCGCGUGAAGGACGACGGCCCUAUGGGUUGUAAACUUCUUUUGUAUAGGGAUAAACCUACUCUCGUGAGAGUAGCUGAAGGUACUAUACGAAUAAGCACCGGCUAACUCCGUGCCAGCAGCCGCGGUAAUACGGAGGGUGCAAGCGUUAUCCGGAUUUAUUGGGUUUAAAGGGUCCGUAGGCGGAUCUGUAAGUCAGUGGUGAAAUCUCACAGCUUAACUGUGAAACUGCCAUUGAUACUGCAGGUCUUGAGUGUUAUUGAAGUAGCUGGAAUAAGUAGUGUAGCGGUGAAAUGCAUAGAUAUUACUUAGAACACCAAUUGCGAAGGCAGGUUACUAAGCAACAACUGACGCUGAUGGACGAAAGCGUGGGGAGCGAACAGGAUUAGAUACCCUGGUAGUCCACGCCGUAAACGAUGCUAACUCGUUUUUGGUUUUUCGGAAUCAGAGACUAAGCGAAAGUGAUAAGUUAGCCACCUGGGGAGUACGUUCGCAAGAAUGAAACUCAAAGGAAUUGACGGGGGCCCGCACAAGCGGUGGAUUAUGUGGUUUAAUUCGAUGAUACGCGAGGAACCUUACCAAGGCUUAAAUGGGAAAUGACAGGUUUAGAAAUAGACUUUUCUUCGGACAUUUUUCAAGGUGCUGCAUGGUUGUCGUCAGCUCGUGCCGUGAGGUGUUAGGUUAAGUCCUGCAACGAGCGCA
RNAcentral lists this ribosomal RNA (1094 nucleotides) under Bacteroidota bacterium. RNAcentral describes it as "bacterial SSU rRNA". It matches the Rfam family "Bacterial small subunit ribosomal RNA", at positions 1 to 1100 of the family's 1533-position model. The record is from RNAcentral. Lineage: Bacteria; Pseudomonadati; Bacteroidota.